AUACGUAGCUGGCAAGCGUUGUCCGGAAUUAUUGGGCGUAAAGCGCAUGUAGGCGGUUUGGUAAGUCGGUCGUGAAAAUGCGGUGCUUAACGCCGUAUGGCGAUUGAAACUGCUGAACUUGAGUGCAGGAGAGGAAAGGGGAACUCCCAGUGUAGCGGUGAAAUGCGUAGAUAUUGGGAAGAACACCGGUGGCGAAGGCGCCUUUCUGGACUGUGUCUGACGCUCAGAUGCGAAAGCCAGGGUAGCGAACGGGAUUAGAUACCCCGGUAGUCCUGGCCGUAAACGAUGGGUACUAGGUGUGGGAGGUAUCGACUCCUUCCGUGCCGGAGUUAACGCAAUAAGUACCCCGCCUGGGGAGUACGGCCGCAAGGCUUAAACUCAAAUGAAUUGACGGGG
Molecule: ribosomal RNA, 396 nt
Filed under: uncultured bacterium
Lineage: Bacteria
Description: partial 16S ribosomal RNA
Rfam family: Bacterial small subunit ribosomal RNA
Source: RNAcentral